GACGAACGCUGGCGGCGUGCUUAACACAUGCAAGUCGAACGAAGUGGCGAACGGGUGAGUAACGCGUAAUCAACCUGCCCUUCAGAGGGGGACAACAGUUGGAAACGACUGCUAAUACCGCAUACGGAAGGAGGGGAUUGCGUCGGCUACGCUAGUUGGGGGGGUAACGGCCCAACAAGGCGAUGACCAGUAGCCGGUCUGGGAGGGUGGACGGCCACAAUGGGACUGGGACACGGCCCAGACCCCUAAGGGAGGGAGCAGUGGGGGAUCUUCCGAAAUGGACGAAAGUCUGACGGAGCAACGCCGCGUGAGUUAUGGCGGCCUUCGGGUUGGAAAGCUCUGUUAAUCGGGACGCGUUACCGAAAUAGAAAGCCACGGCUAACUACGUGCCAGCAGCCGCGGUAAUUC
RNAcentral lists this ribosomal RNA (408 nucleotides) under uncultured bacterium. Its description in RNAcentral is "partial 16S ribosomal RNA". It matches the Rfam family "Bacterial small subunit ribosomal RNA", at positions 28 to 526 of the family's 1533-position model. The record is from RNAcentral.